Molecule: ribosomal RNA, 253 nt
Filed under: uncultured bacterium
Lineage: Bacteria
Description: partial 16S ribosomal RNA
Rfam family: Bacterial small subunit ribosomal RNA
Source: RNAcentral
GACGAACCGUGCGAGCGUUGUUCGGAAUCACUGGGCUUAAAGGGCGCGUAGGCGGGCGAGCAAGUCCGGGGUGAAAUCUUUCGGCUCAACCGGAAAAGUGCCUUGGAUACUGCUCGUCUUGAGGGAGGUAGGGGCCUGUGGAACUUCUGGUGGAGCGGUGAAAUGCGUUGAUAUCAGAAGGAACGCCGGUGGCGAAAGCGACAGGCUGGCCCUCUUCUGACGCUGAGGCGCGAAAGCCAGGGGAGCAAACGGG